ACGGAAGGCAGCAGUGGGGAAUAUUGGGCAAUGGGCGAAAACCUGAUGCAGCGAUGCCGCGUGAGGGAAGAAGGUUUUCGGAUUGUAAACCUCUGUCAUCGGGGACGAUAAUGACUGUACCCGAGAAGGAAGCUCCGGGUAUCUACGUGCCAGCAGCCGCGGUAAUACGUAGGGAGCGAGAGUUAUCCGGAAUUACUGGGUGUAAAGGGAGUGUAGGCGGGACUGUAAGUCAGAUGUGAAAUAUACCGGCUCAACUGGUAGACUGCAUUUGAAACUGCGGUUCUUGAGUGAAGUAGAGGUAAGCGGAAUUCCUAGUGUAGCGGUGAAAUGCGUAGAUAUUAGGAGGAACAUCAGUGGCGAAGGCGGCUUGCUGGGCUUUAACUGACGCUGAGGCUCGAAAGCGUGGGGAGCAAACAGGAGUAGAUACCCUGGUA
This 434-nucleotide ribosomal RNA is filed under the name uncultured Ruminococcus sp. Its description in RNAcentral is "partial 16S ribosomal RNA". It matches the Rfam family "Bacterial small subunit ribosomal RNA", at positions 341 to 792 of the family's 1533-position model. Lineage: Bacteria; Bacillati; Bacillota; Clostridia; Eubacteriales; Oscillospiraceae. The record is from RNAcentral.